This 588-nucleotide ribosomal RNA is filed under the name uncultured bacterium. RNAcentral describes it as "bacterial SSU rRNA". It matches the Rfam family "Bacterial small subunit ribosomal RNA", at positions 338 to 916 of the family's 1533-position model. The record is from RNAcentral.
CCUACGGGAGGCAGCAGUCGAGAAUAGUCUACAAUGGCCGAAAGGCUGAUAGUGCGACGCCGCGUGAACGAAGAAGCCCUUCGGGGUGUAAAGUUCUUUUAUAUGUGAGCAGUGCUUUCUAUGUGAACAGCAUAGGGAGAGAGAUAUUAGCAUAUGAAUAAGCAACGGCUAACUCCGUGCCAGCAGCCGCGGUAACACGGGGGUUGCGAGCGUUGUCCGGAAUUACUAGGCGUAAAGGGCAGGCAGGCGGAUUUAUAAGUUUUCUGUUUAAGGCAACGGCUCGCCCGUUGUAAGGCAUUAGAUACUGUGGAUCUGGAAUGCGGUUGGGGAAGACAGAAUUCCUGGUGUAGCGGUGGAAUGCGCAGAGAUCAGGAGGAAUACCGAAGGCGAAGGCAGUCUUCCAAGCCGUUAUUGACGCUAAACUGCGAAGGUGUGGGUAUCAAACAGGAUUAGAUACCCUGGUAGUCCACACAGUAAACGAUAAUCACUAGGUGUCGGGUUCGUAGAGGAUUCGGUGCCGUAGCUAACGCGAUAAGUGAUUCGCCUGGGGAGUACGAUCGCAAGGUUAAAACUCAAAGGAAUUGACGG